This 747-nucleotide ribosomal RNA is filed under the name uncultured Peptostreptococcaceae bacterium. Its description in RNAcentral is "bacterial SSU rRNA". It matches the Rfam family "Bacterial small subunit ribosomal RNA", at positions 28 to 776 of the family's 1533-position model. Lineage: Bacteria; Bacillati; Bacillota; Clostridia; Peptostreptococcales; Peptostreptococcaceae. The record is from RNAcentral.
GAUGAACGCUGGCGGCGUGCCUAACACAUGCAAGUCGAACGGAGUUUAUGUAGGAAGUUUUCGGAUGGAAUGUAUAAACUUAGUGGCGGACGGGUGAGUAACGCGUAAGUAAUCAACCUAAAACACACGGAUAACUAAGAGAAAUUUUAGCUAAUACGAGAUGAACUUUGAUAGUAGGGAUAUUAUCAAAGCAAAGCUGAGGCGGUUUUAGACGAGCUUGCGUCUGAUUAGCUAGUUGGUAAGGUAAGAGCUUACCAAGGCGACGAUCAGUAGCCGGCCUGAGAGGGUGAACGGCCACAUUGGGACUGAGACACGGCCCAAACUCCUACGGGAGGCAGCAGUGGGGGAUAUUGCACAAUGGGGGGAACCCUGAUGCAGCAACGCCGCGUGAGUGAAGAAGACUUUCGAGUCGUAAAGCUCUGUCGUAUGAGAAGAAUAAAAUGACUGUAUCAUACAAGAAAGCCCCGGCUAACUACGUGCCAGCAGCCGCGGUAAUACGUAGGGGGCAAGCGUUAUCCGGAAUUACUGGGCGUAAAGGGUGCGUAGGCGGCUUAGUAAGUCAAGAUUUAAAGGCAGCAGCUCAACUGCUGUUCGGUCUUGAAACUAUUGAGCUUGAGUAUAGGAGAGGAAAGUGGAAUUCCCAGUGUAGCGGUGAAAUGCGUAGAUAUUGGGAGGAAUACCGGUGGCGAAGGCGACUUUCUGGACUAUAACUGACGCUGAGGCACGAAAGCGUGGGUAGCAAACAGG